Ictidomys tridecemlineatus (thirteen-lined ground squirrel) is the source of this 84-nucleotide non-coding RNA. The record is from Rfam. NCBI's taxonomy places the organism in Eukaryota, Metazoa, Chordata, Mammalia, Rodentia, Sciuridae.
CAGUGCAGUCACCCAUAAAGUAGAAAGCACUACUAACAGCACUGGAGGGUGUAGUGUUUCCUACUUUAUGGAUGAGUGUACUGU